This 804-nucleotide ribosomal RNA is filed under the name Neisseria gonorrhoeae FA19. Its description in RNAcentral is "bacterial SSU rRNA". It matches the Rfam family "Bacterial small subunit ribosomal RNA", at positions 8 to 801 of the family's 1533-position model. Lineage: Bacteria; Pseudomonadati; Pseudomonadota; Betaproteobacteria; Neisseriales; Neisseriaceae. The record is from RNAcentral.
AGAGUUUGAUCCUGGCUCAGAUUGAACGCUGGCGGCAUGCUUUACACAUGCAAGUCGGACGGCAGCACAGGGAAGCUUGCUUCUCGGGUGGCGAGUGGCGAACGGGUGAGUAACAUAUCGGAACGUACCGGGUAGCGGGGGAUAACUGAUCGAAAGAUCAGCUAAUACCGCAUACGUCUUGAGAGGGAAAGCAGGGGACCUUCGGGCCUUGCGCUAUCCGAGCGGCCGAUAUCUGAUUAGCUGGUUGGCGGGGUAAAGGCCCACCAAGGCGACGAUCAGUAGCGGGUCUGAGAGGAUGAUCCGCCACACUGGGACUGAGACACGGUCCAGACUCCUACGGGAGGCAGCAGUGGGGAAUUUUGGACAAUGGGCGCAAGCCUGAUCCAGCCAUGCCGCGUGUCUGAAGAAGGCCUUCGGGUUGUAAAGGACUUUUGUCAGGGAAGAAAAGGCCGUUGCCAAUAUCGGCGGCCGAUGACGGUACCUGAAGAAUAAGCACCGGCUAACUACGUGCCAGCAGCCGCGGUAAUACGUAGGGUGCGAGCGUUAAUCGGAAUUACUGGGCGUAAAGCGGGCGCAGACGGUUACUUAAGCAGGAUGUGAAAUCCCCGGGCUCAACCCGGGAACUGCGUUCUGAACUGGGUGACUCGAGUGUGUCAGAGGGAGGUGGAAUUCCACGUGUAGCAGUGAAAUGCGUAGAGAUGUGGAGGAAUACCGAUGGCGAAGGCAGCCUCCUGGGAUAACACUGACGUUCAUGUCCGAAAGCGUGGGUAGCAAACAGGAUUAGAUACCCUGGUAGUCCACGCC